AAGUCGUAACAAGGUAUCCGUAGGUGAACCUGCGGAUGGAUCAUUAACAGUAUUAUCAUAUACGUUUAACACUUGUGAGCCGUAUGAGAGUCUCUCUCUCAAUUUAUUAUACUAUUAGACUGAAACCACUUUAUAUAACAAUUAUAAAACUUUUAGCAACGGAUCUCUGGGCUCUCGCAAACGAUGAAGAACGCAGCGAAUUGCGAAAAGUAAUGUGAAUUGCAUAUACCGUGAAUCAUCAAAUCUUUGAACGCACCUUGCACCAUUGGGAACUCCCGAUGGUACUGUCUGUUUGAGUAUCAAUCAACACCUGCCCAAACUUUGCUUUUAACCGAGCCAUACUUUGCAUAAUCGAUUGGAUAGUUUUAUUACUACCGAUUUAGAUACAUAGUCUAGCCACGCUAGUCAACAGAGUCUAACACUUCUGAGUGGACGCAAUGUAGCAGCCAUGACUGGGGGCUUCUGAAGCCUUUAACUUUGAUCUCAAAUCAGACGAGGAUACCCGCUGAACUUAA
Molecule: ribosomal RNA, 515 nt
Filed under: uncultured fungus
Lineage: Eukaryota; Fungi
Description: eukaryotic LSU rRNA
Rfam family: 5.8S ribosomal RNA (bases 148-302)
Source: RNAcentral